RNAcentral lists this non-coding RNA (90 nucleotides) under Pseudopedinella elastica. The record is from RNAcentral. Lineage: Eukaryota; Dictyochophyceae; Pedinellales.
GACGACGAGGACGAGGAGCUCUGGUUCGAGCCGUCGGUGUCGGCGCACAGCGUCCGGUACUCGACGAGCAGCCUCGCCAAGCAACCCAAG